Molecule: ribosomal RNA, 876 nt
Filed under: uncultured crenarchaeote
Lineage: Archaea; Thermoproteati; Thermoproteota
Description: bacterial SSU rRNA
Rfam family: Archaeal small subunit ribosomal RNA
Source: RNAcentral
ACCUGACUGCUAUCGGAUUGAUACUAAGCCAUGCGAGUCUUUGCAGUAAUGCAAGGCAUACGGCUCAGUAACACGUAGUCAACUUACCCUAUGGACGAGGAUAAUCUCGGGAAACUGAGCAUAAUACUCGAUAGAUCAUAAUGCCUGGAAUGGUUUAUGGUUGAAAUGAUUCGUCGCCAUAGGAUGGGGCUGCGGCCUAUCAGCUUGUUGGUGAGGUAAUGGCCCACCAAGGCGAUUACAGGUACGGGCUCUGAGAGGAGAAGCCCGGAGAUGGGUACUGAGACAAGGACCCAGGCCCUAUGGGGCGCAGCAGGCGAGAAAACUUUGCAAUGUGCGAAAGCACGACAAGGUUAAUCCGAGUGAUUUCUGCUAAAGAAAUCUUUUGCAAGUCAUAAAACCACUAGUGAAUAAGGGGUGGGCAAGUUCUGGUGUCAGCCGCCGCGGUAAAACCAGCACCUCAAGUGGUCAGGAGGAUUAUUGGGCCUAAAGCAUCCGUAGCCGGCUCUGUAAGUUUUCGGUUAAAUCCAUGUGCUCAACGCAUGGGCUGCCGAAAAUACUGCAUAGCUAGGGAGUGGGAGAGGUAGACGGUACUCAGUAGGAAGGGGUAAAAUCCUUUGAUCUAUUGAUGACCACCUGUGGCGAAGGCGGUCUACCAGAACACGUUCGACGGUGAGGGAUGAAAGCUGGGGGAGCAAACCGGAUUAGAUACCCGGGUAGUCCCAGCUGUAAACGAUGCAGACUCGAUGAUGCAUUGGCAUAUAGCCAGUGCAGUGUCGCAGGGAAGCCGUUAAGUCUGCCGCCUGGGAAGUACGUACGCAAGUAUGAAACUUAAAGGAAUUGGCGGGGGAGCACCACAAGGGGUGAAGCCUGCGGUUC